Molecule: ribosomal RNA, 514 nt
Filed under: uncultured bacterium
Lineage: Bacteria
Description: partial 16S ribosomal RNA
Rfam family: Bacterial small subunit ribosomal RNA
Source: RNAcentral
GAUGAACGCUGGCGGCGUGCCUAAUACAUGCAAGUCGAGCGAAUGGAUUGAGAGCUUGCUCUUAUGAAGUUAGCGGCGGACGGGUGAGUAACACGUGGGUAACCUGCCCAUAAGACUGGGAUAACUCCGGGAAACCGGGGCUAAUACCGGAUAACAUUUUGAACCGCAUGGUUCGAAAUUGAAAGGCGGCUUCGGCUGUCACUUAUGGAUGGACCCGCGUCGCAUUAGCUAGUUGGUGAGGUAACGGCUCACCAAGGCAACGAUGCGUAGCCGACCGGAGAGGGUGACCGGCCACACGGGACUGAGACACGGCCCAGACUCCUACGGGAGGCAGCAGUAGGGAAUCUUCCGCAAUGGACGAAAGUCUGACGGAGCAACGCCGCGUGAGUGAUGAAGGCUUUCGGGUCGUAAAACUCUGUUGUUAGGGAAGAACAAGUGCUAGUUGAAUAAGCUGGCACCUUGACGGUACCUAACCAGAAAGCCACGGCUAACUACGUGCCAGCCGCCGCCGUAA